This is a long non-coding RNA of Lycium barbarum (goji berry), 507 nucleotides long. RefSeq lists it as uncharacterized. NCBI's taxonomy places the organism in Eukaryota, Viridiplantae, Streptophyta, Magnoliopsida, Solanales, Solanaceae. The record is from RefSeq and is a predicted model, not a curated record. The transcript is spliced from 2 exons.
GUUAUUUUGUCUGCACGGCAACAAUAAUCAUCAAAUCGAACUCUACAGAGAGUUAUGGGCCUAUCACCUCUGCAUAUUCUCAGCGUAAAAUUUGCUUCUUGUUUGUGCUUUUGGUGCUCACUGUCAGUUUUUCAUCAAUGUUAUGUACGAUUGUAUGUCCGUGCAAAUUUCUUUCACUCUUAUCUCCACGAAACCAACCCAUCUUUCAUCUUUGGGUGAAAAAAAUUUAGGCGGAAUAGUCUGGAGCUAAGGGCAAGAAGGACAGACGAGACAAGGAAGCAAAACUAAAACGAGAAAAAGAGAGCAACACAAGGGAGCACCAGGACAUAUUUAUCGGAUAAUCAAUUAAUGUUAUUAUUUAUAAUAAAUAUCUUUAUAUACUCACCUUAUAAGUGGUAUGAUUGUAUAUAUAAUUUUUAUAUAAAUGAUAUGAUUUUGUGUGUGUAUCAGGGUGUAUACUUCCUCCGUCCAUUUUUACUUAUCCUGUAUAUUAAAAAUAAAUGUCCA